CUACGGGGGGUGCAAGCGUUAUUCGGAUUUAUUGGGCGUAAAGAGCGCGUAGGCGGCUUGGUAAGUCAGAUGUGAAAGCCCGGGGCUCAACCCCGGAAGUGCAUUUGAAACUAUCAGGCUUGAGUAUGGGAGAGGGAAGUGGAAUUCCUGGUGUAGAGGUGAAAUUCGUAGAUAUCAGGAGGAACACCGGUGGCGAAGGCGACUUCCUGGACCAAUACUGACGCUGAGGCGCGAAGGCGUGGGGAGCAAACAGGAUUAGAAACCCGUGUAGUCC
This 274-nucleotide ribosomal RNA is filed under the name uncultured bacterium. RNAcentral's name for it is "partial 16S ribosomal RNA". It matches the Rfam family "Bacterial small subunit ribosomal RNA", at positions 523 to 796 of the family's 1533-position model. The record is from RNAcentral.